Molecule: ribosomal RNA, 927 nt
Filed under: uncultured bacterium
Lineage: Bacteria
Description: bacterial SSU rRNA
Rfam family: Bacterial small subunit ribosomal RNA
Source: RNAcentral
AGAGUUUGAUCCUGGCUCAGGACGAACGCUGGCGGCGUGCCUAAUACAUGCAAGUCGGGCGGACGAUUAAAAGCUUGCUUUUGGUCGUCAGCGGCGAACGGGUGAGUAACACGUGGGCAACCUGCCUGUAAGACCGGGAUAACUUGCGGAAACGUGAGCUAAUACCGGAUAAUCUCCUUUCUUCGCAUGAAGAAGGACUGAAAGACGGCGCAAGCUGUCACUUACAGAUGGGCCCGCGGCGCAUUAGCUGGUUGGUGAGGUAACGGCUCACCAAGGCGACGAUGCGUAGCCGACCUGAGAGGGUGAUCGGCCACACUGGGACUGAGACACGGCCCAGACUCCUACGGGAGGCAGCAGUAGGGAAUCUUCCGCAAUGGACGCAAGUCUGACGGAGCAACGCCGCGUGAGCGAUGAAGGCCUUCGGGUCGUAAAGCUCUGUUGUCAGGGAAGAACAAGUACCGGAGUAACUGCCGGUACCUUGACGGUACCUGACCAGAAAGCCACGGCUAACUACGUGCCAGCAGCCGCGGUAAUACGUAGGUGGCAAGCGUUGUCCGGAAUUAUUGGGCGUAAAGCGCGCGCAGGCGGUCCCUUAAGUCUGAUGUGAAAGCCCCCGGCUUAACCGGGGAGGGUCAUUGGAAACUGGGGGACUUGAGUGCAGAAGAGAAGAGCGGAAUUCCACGUGUAGCGGUGAAAUGCGUAGAGAUGUGGAGGAACACCAGUGGCGAAGGCGGCUCUUUGGUCUGUAACUGACGCUGAGGCGCGAAAGCGUGGGGAGCAAACAGGAUUAGAUACCCUGGUAGUCCACGCCGUAAACGAUGAGUGCUAAGUGUUAGAGGGUUUCCGCCCUUUAGUGCUGCAGCUAACGCAUUAAGCACUCCGCCUGGGGAGUACGGCCGCAAGGCUGAAACUCAAAGGAAUUGACGG